Molecule: long non-coding RNA, 1701 nt
Organism: Hevea brasiliensis (rubber tree)
Lineage: Eukaryota; Viridiplantae; Streptophyta; Magnoliopsida; Malpighiales; Euphorbiaceae
Exons: 3
Source: RefSeq, a predicted model, not a curated record
CUUUGCAAACUAACCAAAUAGUAUCUUAUUUUAUAGUGUGCAGUUGAACCAAGUGGAGAUAGGUUUGAAGUGCAUCACACCAAGAAUUCACAUUAAAUUUACUUCACAACGAGAUAGGAAUCCUUGGGAGAUGCAAUCAAAAUAAGUAGAUAAGGAUUGCUAUUUUCCGAUUGUCUACCCCGGAAUGUAUGUGUCAACAUGCCUUGCAUUGAAGACUUUGUAGUUUUUUAUUGGCCAUGUUCUGAUACUAAAUGGUUUAGUUAAUUGAACUUCAUACAGAGAGGUAUGGCACUCAGAUUUUGGUUUUGAACUCUUCUGUGGCAAUGUUGAUUCCUCAACAAGGAAUUAUAAAUCAUGUCCUUAACUAAUGAGAGCAGUUUAUUGCUAAUAUAUUUCAGGGGUGGAGAAGCAUUUGAAUUUUAGAUAAUUGCUUACAGAAUCAAUUUAUGCUUUAUCAGUUUAAAGCUUGAAAAUUUGAAAGGCAAAUUCUUUAGUUGUAAAAAUUUAUUGUAUCUGUGGAAAUUUGACUCCUCCCUCGUACCAGAUGAGGAAGUUCUCAAUUCCACGUUCUUUUUCGCUUGCAGGGUUUGCUAGUACCUUCGGCUGUUUCUCUAGCCGUUCCACUGGCUCUUAUGUCCCUCACUAGAUGAGGUCUUAGGUGCUUAUCUUCUCUCAUGCGGUGAAGUUGGAAAGGAACAGGAAUCCCAUAAUGUUUUGGCAUCUGAACGGAUGGCUCCUCGUGGACAUCUUGUCUUUUCUGUGGCCAUUGGUGCUUUGAUUUUUGUUCCAGUGUUCAAGGCCCUAACUGGAUUGCCUCCAUAUAUGGGCAUGCUUCUUGGGCUUGGAGUUCUUUGGAUUGUUACAGAUGCUAUUCCUCUUGGUGAAUCAGAAAGGCAAAGGUUAAAACUUAGAAGUACCACAGGCUUUAUAUGGGAUUGACACUCAAGGAGCCCUUUUUUUCCUUGGAAUCCUUUUGUCAGUUAGCAGGAAAUGAAGUUGUUGGUCUUUAAUUCUCUUUAGCAAAUUCAAAUUAUUUGUCUCUUUCCUAGCCUGGAGGCAGCGAGGCUUCUUCGUAAUUGGCAAAUUACCUUGAUGCCAUAUUCCACAUGUCGAACUCAUUGCAAGUGCAGUAGGGGUUGGAUCAGCGAUUAUAGACAAUGUUCCACUAGUUGCAGCAACAAUGGGAAUAUAUGAUCUCACAUCUUUUCCCCAGGAUUCUGAGUUUUGGCAGUUAGUCGCGUACUGUGCUGGUGCUGGUGGUUCCAUGCUAGUUAUUGCCUAUUGGGUCUGCUGCUGGGGUAGCAUUUAUGGGGAUGGAGAAGGUGGACUUCUUCUGGUACUUCCGGAAGGUAUAUUCUGCCAUAAAUGAUAUUUCAUCAACAUGCCAUCUUUAAGUAAAAGAAGUUGUUCUCUUUCCAGGAGAGUGGUUUUGCUUUUAUUGGCUAAGCUGCUGGUAUUGCUGCUUACUUAGCAAUUCAUAACCUCAACAUUUCCCUACCCACAACACUAGCCGAGGUUCCAUUCCUUUCGGGUUCAUAAAUUAUGGUGCUGAGGAUUCGAUGUUUUACCGCGUCCAAGCAAGGAUGCAGCCAUCCACACAAGACUAAUCUAGCAACAAAUGAGAGUGGCAGAAAUGCUGGGUGAUGUAGAAAUAGCGCUGACAAAUAUAUAAAAUUGAAUUGAACAUUGAUUAGAUAACAU